RNAcentral lists this ribosomal RNA (853 nucleotides) under Frigoribacterium sp. RNAcentral's name for it is "bacterial SSU rRNA". It matches the Rfam family "Bacterial small subunit ribosomal RNA", at positions 57 to 924 of the family's 1533-position model. Lineage: Bacteria; Bacillati; Actinomycetota; Actinomycetes; Micrococcales; Microbacteriaceae. The record is from RNAcentral.
GCAGUCGACGAUGAACUGGAGCUUGCUCCAGGGAUUAGUGGCGAACGGGUGAGUAACACGUGAGUAACCUGCCCUUGACUCUGGGAUAAGCGCUAGAAAUGGCGUCUAAUACCGGAUACGAGCUUCAGCCGCAUGGCUAGGAGUUGGAAAGAAUUUUGGUCAAGGAUGGACUCGCGGCCUAUCAGCUAGUUGGUGAGGUAAUGGCUCACCAAGGCGACGACGGGUAGCCGGCCUGAGAGGGUGACCGGCCACACUGGGACUGAGACACGGCCCAGACUCCUACGGGAGGCAGCAGUGGGGAAUAUUGCACAAUGGGCGAAAGCCUGAUGCAGCAACGCCGCGUGAGGGAUGACGGCCUUCGGGUUGUAAACCUCUUUUAGUAGGGAAGAAGCGAAAGUGACGGUACCUGCAGAAAAAGCACCGGCUAACUACGUGCCAGCAGCCGCGGUAAUACGUAGGGUGCAAGCGUUGUCCGGAAUUAUUGGGCGUAAAGAGCUCGUAGGCGGUUUGUCGCGUCUGCUGUGAAAUCUGGGGGCUCAACCCCCAGCCUGCAGUGGGUACGGGCAGACUAGAGUGCGGUAGGGGAGAUUGGAAUUCCUGGUGUAGCGGUGGAAUGCGCAGAUAUCAGGAGGAACACCGAUGGCGAAGGCAGAUCUCUGGGCCGUAACUGACGCUGAGGAGCGAAAGCAUGGGGAGCGAACAGGAUUAGAUACCCUGGUAGUCCAUGCCGUAAACGUUGGGAACUAGAUGUGGGGGCCAUUCCACGGUCUCCGUGUCGCAGCUAACGCAUUAAGUUCCCCGCCUGGGGAGUACGGNCGCAAGGCUAAACUCAANGGAAUUGACGGGGGNCCCG